RNAcentral lists this non-coding RNA (58 nucleotides) under Spodoptera frugiperda (fall armyworm). Lineage: Eukaryota; Metazoa; Arthropoda; Insecta; Lepidoptera; Noctuidae. The record is from RNAcentral.
CGGGGGGAGGAAUUGACUCGACUUUUUAAAUACAAGUCAGUCUUUUUCUCUCUCCUAU